Long non-coding RNA from Betta splendens (Siamese fighting fish), 2254 nucleotides. RefSeq lists it as uncharacterized. Lineage: Eukaryota; Metazoa; Chordata; Actinopteri; Anabantiformes; Osphronemidae. The transcript has 5 exons. The record is from RefSeq and is a predicted model, not a curated record.
UUGUUUUUCUCCACCUUUUUUGUUUCUCAUUUCCCGUGUGUUUCCAGGGCUAAUUGGUCAUUUGAGUCACCUGUGCUUUGAGUAUUUAGUUUUUAGGAAGUGGACUUUGGCUUCAUUUGAUGUCCUGUCCUUUGUCACCUGUGAAGAACGCAGGACUGAGACGUCGCUGGGUAUGGCGCAGCCGGGGCCCCACCCUGGAGCCAGGCCCAAGGUUGGGGCUCGCAUGCCUAUUUUCACGAGGCCCGGCCAGACACAGCCCGAAAGAGCGACGUGGGACCGUCCUUAGGUGGACCCACCAUUCGCAGGAGGAACCGUAGGGGGCCGGUGCAUAGUGGAUUGGGCAGCAGCCAAAGGCGGGAGCCUAGGUGACCCAAUCCCUGGAUAACCGAUCUGGCUAUUGGGACAUGGACUGUUAUGUCACCAAAUAUGUACCACUAUCAAAACAUCAUUCCUAAGUUACUAAAGUACUUUCUUCCACAUGCACCUCUUUGGUCCAGUCUGUGGCAUGGUAACCCUGGGUGACAUGGAAAAGGUCCAUACGACAAGUUUUCGAAGAGGUUCAGUCAGAAACAAACACGGCAUUUGACAUGGACAACAACUGUGCCAUGUGCUGUGCUUCAAAGCCUCCAGGAACAGGGCCCCCGACUACAAACUGGAUACAGUGUGACAGCUGCGAGCGUUGGUUUCAUGAGCAGUGUGUGGAUGUAGAUAAAGAAAAACUUGAAGAAGCAACAGCUGGUAUCUGGCACUGCCCUAUUUGUUACUUGGUGGCGACAGGCUGCAAGGUGCAUGGGUUUAUUGCACAAAUAAUAUCAUACAAUCUUGAGAAAAUCAUUGUCAGAAUAAAGAUCUAUAAACAUGUGUUGUUUGAAUGUCACCCAUGUAUCCAGUGUACAAAAGGUUCUGUGAGACGGUGCGGUUGACAGCAGGAAUUCACCCCCUUCACGUUCAGUGAAAGGGUGUUGAGUCGCGGGACAGGCACGGAAGCAGAGAGGACUUUGUCAGCUAACGCCGACUAGUUAAUAGACAGUCUUAAACUAUCGAGGGUGUGUGUUUGUGCGCAUAGUAAGUGCAAGUUGUUACCCUCACAGACCAAUUGUUAUACGUCACGUUUAUGUAGCGUUUAGUUAGCCGUUAACAAGCUGUUGCUAGUAGCUAAUGUCCUUUACUAUACGUAUACCUGUGCACCUGUGUUUGUAUCAUUCUUACGUUCGUUAUAUUCUGGUUAGUUUGGGGCUCCUAUAAUGUCGGUAUAUGUAAAAUUAAAAAAAAAAGUACUCAGGUAAGAGGACAAACCUGUCCUUCUGACAGCAUUAGAACAUAGAAUUAAGUAUACAUAUGUUCAGAUAACUCAUAAAAUAUGCUCUAAUCACAGUAUCCAAAUAUAACAACCCUUGUGUUUUAUUUAAAACAAUUAACUUCUUGAUGCCCCUCAUUCAACCUCUCUAGGGAAUACUACUGAACUAUGAGAGAACUUCUUGACUUUUUUUUUUAAAUCAAGAAGGUUAAGAGCACUAGGGCCCUGAUUAACUCUUAUUGACCCCUCCCUCCGUGCUACUUGCCCAGCUGUUUUUGAUCAGUUUGAGGCUGUUAUGCCAUCUUUUCUGGAAGAAAUAAUGACUCAUAUGAAGCCCACAGGAUCUCCCAAAUGACCCAAUCCCACCUCAGCUUUUGAAAGAGGUCUUCUCCAGUGUGUCUCUCUACGUUCUGAUCAUUAUUAAUGCGAGCCUUACAAAUGGUGUUAUUCCAGCAAGUUUUAAGCAUGCAGUGGUGACACCUUUUAAUCAAGACGCUUAGAUUCAUCUGUGCGCCCCAAUUUUAGACCCAUAUCCAAACUACCAUUUCUCUCUAAGAUUUUGGAGAAAAUUGUGGGAGUUCAAGGAAGUGCCUUGGACUGGUUCAGGUCCUAUUUAACACUUUUGUGUCAGUGUUGGAACCGCAGUCUUCUGUAGCGCCUCUAACAUGUGGAGUACCACAAGGGUCCAUCCUUGCCCCUCUACUCUUGUCUCUGUAUGUAUUGCCUUUUGGCUUGAUCUUGUGGAAACACGACAUCUUAUUUCACCUUUAUGCUGAUGACACACAAAUCUAUGUCAAAAGAGGGCGCAUACUCCACUGUUCAACUUUUACAGUGCAUUGAGGAAGUUAAGGCCUGGAUGGCAAGCAAUUUUUUACAUUUUAAUUAUAAAAAACUUAGGUCUUGCUGUUUUCGAACCCAGUAAUGACUCUAAAGUUCAGACCGACCUGGGUUUUUUAA